UUCAAUUACGAGAUAAUUUUGAAUUACUGGAAGACGAGAUUAGUGAGAGCGUAAAGAGGCAAAAAGUAUUGAAAGAGAAAAUUGCAGAACUGUUAAAGACGCAUCUACACAUGCCAGCGGGAAAAGAGGACGAACUAUAUGCAACUUUGAAAAAAAGAAAUGCUGAUAUUUACAUUCAAAGAUCAAAAUUGUGUUCUUGGAUGGAGAGUACCAAGUAAUAAAGUUAAGUUUUCCAUCGCUUUAACGCUGCGAGCAGAAGAAAGCAAUGACAAAUCAUGUGCUGGCAAU
Long non-coding RNA from Dendroctonus ponderosae (mountain pine beetle), 288 nucleotides. RefSeq lists it as uncharacterized. The record is from RefSeq and is a predicted model, not a curated record. Lineage: Eukaryota; Metazoa; Arthropoda; Insecta; Coleoptera; Curculionidae. The transcript is spliced from 2 exons.